GACGAACGCUGGCGGCGUGCUUAACACAUGCGAGUCGAACGCUGAAGCCUGGUGCUUGCACUGGGUGGGUGAGUGGCGAACGGGUGAGUAAUACGUGAGUAACCUGCCCUUGACUCUGGGAUAAGCCUGGGAAACUGGGUAUAAUACUGGAUACGACAUGUCACCGCAUGGUGGUGUGUGGAAAGGGGUUUACUGGGUUUGGAUGGGCUCACGGCCUAUCAGCUUGUUGGUGGGGUAAUGGCUCACCAAGGCGACGACGGGUAGCCGGCCUGAGAGGGUGACCGGCCACACUGGGACUGAGACACGGCCCAGACUCCUACGGGAGGCAGCAGUGGGGAAUAUUGCACAAUGGGCGGAAGCCUGAUGCAGCGACGCCGCGUGAGGGAUGACGGCCUUCGGGUUGUAAACCUCUUUCAGCACGGAAGAAGCGAAAGUGACGGUACGUGCAGAAGAAGCGCCGGCUAACUACGUG
RNAcentral lists this ribosomal RNA (472 nucleotides) under uncultured bacterium. RNAcentral's name for it is "partial 16S ribosomal RNA". It matches the Rfam family "Bacterial small subunit ribosomal RNA", at positions 28 to 507 of the family's 1533-position model. The record is from RNAcentral.